This 461-nucleotide ribosomal RNA is filed under the name Ameerega petersi (Peruvian poison frog). Its description in RNAcentral is "partial 16S ribosomal RNA". It matches the Rfam family "Bacterial large subunit ribosomal RNA", at positions 1941 to 2556 of the family's 2925-position model. The record is from RNAcentral. Lineage: Eukaryota; Metazoa; Chordata; Amphibia; Anura; Dendrobatidae.
CCUAACCGUGCGAAGGUAGCGUAAUCACUUGUUCUUUAAAUGAGGACUAGUAUGAAUGGCCCCACGAGGGCUGCACUGUCUCCUUUUUCCAAUCAAUGAAACUAAUCUCCCCGUGAAGAAGCGGGGAUAACCCUAUAAGACGAGAAGACCCUAUGGAGCUUUAAACAACUGAAACAUUUGCUUCUCCCCUGACCUCUCUUGAGCUCUUUAUUUCACUUAAGCAUUUUUAUUUCUAGUUUUAGGUUGGGGUGACCGCGGAGCAAAACUAAACCUCCAUGAAGAAUGAAUAUUUUUAAGCCACAAACUACUUUUUUAAGCAUCAACAAAUUGACCUUCAUUGACCCAAUAUAUUGAUCAACGAACCAAGUUACCCUAGGGAUAACAGCGCAAUCUACUUCAAGAGCUCAAUUCGACAAGUAGGUUUACGACCUCGAUGUUGGAUCAGAGUAUCCUAGUGGUGC